This is a non-coding RNA of Microcebus murinus (gray mouse lemur), 260 nucleotides long. The record is from RefSeq and is a predicted model, not a curated record. NCBI's taxonomy places the organism in Eukaryota, Metazoa, Chordata, Mammalia, Primates, Cheirogaleidae.
CCACUCACCAUGGUGGCUACGGGUUAAGAGGCGAAGGCGACAGGAGCAGACACCGGGUCCCGGUUACCGUCCCCGACAAGCUAAGAGUCGAGAAUGUGAAAGCACCAUCUCAUGACAAUAAAGCAACCUUAAGACAUAUGCUAAGGAUGAAGGAAGAUAGAAUCUAGGUCCCUGAUGACAUUGUGGAGCUGCUGCACAAGCCAUGGAUUGUGGACCUCUGGACUUCUCAUUAUGGAAAAAUAAAGCAAUUUGUUAAGCCA